Molecule: non-coding RNA, 310 nt
Organism: Cinara cedri
Lineage: Eukaryota; Metazoa; Arthropoda; Insecta; Hemiptera; Aphididae
Source: the annotation of a GenBank genome assembly
UCGAGGCAUCAGGCUUUAAGGUUCUGAAAUCUCUUAGUUUCCGAAAAAGAGUUUGUGUCAAAAUUAAAUUGACAGCUCCUCUGCUAAAAGUUUUGUAUAGUGUGUUUGAUCGGUCGGUCUUGGAGUUUAAAGUUGUUAUUUGGCAACCGCAAGGUUACUGAAAAAAAUCGAGAGCAAUGUUUUUAAUAUUUAUGUUUAUGUUCCCAAAGUUGACCACAAGCUGUGCAACAAUGAGCCCGUAAUGUGAACCCAGUAGGAUUAAGUUUGCAUUCCUUAGCGAAUAGACAUGUUAUUGUGAACAAGGUAUUCC